Molecule: long non-coding RNA, 944 nt
Organism: Vespa mandarinia (Asian giant hornet)
Lineage: Eukaryota; Metazoa; Arthropoda; Insecta; Hymenoptera; Vespidae
Source: RefSeq, a predicted model, not a curated record
AAUUUUACUUUCACAUUUUAUUAAUCAGGAUUGUUGCGUGUUUAGUAGUACACGUAAGAAAGAUAAAAAAAUGAUAAAAAGUUUGCAAAAAAAUAAAGUCAAGUAUCAAAGACAAAGAUCAGACCGAUAUAUUUAAUAUCCAUUUAGAACAGAUUUUUAAUAGAAAAUAAUAAUCUAUUAAUAUAUCAAGUGCAAAAAUGAUGGUGCAUUGACAUAUGAGCAUGCGCGGUCCUGUUUGUAGCUUAUUUAUUAUGUUGUUAAUUAUACAUAGUACAGUGCUGACACGCAACUAUAGACAUAAUAUGCACACAGUUUCUAUCAUAUUUAGUAUGCGUCGAAGGCUUGUCGAAGGUAGUUUGUCUUAAUGCUUCUUCGUCGAUUGAGUUGCAUCUCGUAAGUUUACUCUCAAAUUACGCAGAAUGUUUUUAUCCAACGUAUUUUUUUUUCUUUUUUUUCUCUUUUUUCUUUCUUUCUUUCUUUUUUUUUUUUUUUUUUUUUUUUUACAUUUUGCCAUUUCAAAUUGAUCACUUUCUUCAUCUAGUAUGUAGUUAAAAUACGAUCUUUAAAUUGAAUUACAUUCCUUCAUACAGACGGGCAUGUAGGUUGAUUUUAAUUUGAAUUGGAUUGUGGAUCGAAUCAGUUAUGAUUCGCAAGAAUAUGAACGAACUUAACGAUAACCGUCAAUAUAUUAUUGGUUUAUACAACUAUUCUUCAAAUAAAAAAACAUUAAAAAAUCGAUCUUUGAUCUUGCUUUAUAUACUAGUAGACAUCCUUAUAUAUUAUUAGAAAAACAGUCGCUGUUAAAUAAUAAAUCAAAUAUCUUUCUCAUGGUUUUGAUGUUUUUUUCGCAAAAUAUCAAGAGAUUAAGUUGAAAUAUAUCGAAGGUAUUGGAAUAAAUUUUUGUUAUGAUGACACAAACAAAAAUAAUGUCUUCUUUUUUAUGG